This is a long non-coding RNA of Haliotis rubra (blacklip abalone), 1306 nucleotides long. RefSeq lists it as uncharacterized. The transcript is spliced from 7 exons. The record is from RefSeq and is a predicted model, not a curated record. Lineage: Eukaryota; Metazoa; Mollusca; Gastropoda; Lepetellida; Haliotidae.
UCGUCCCCUUUUAUUUCAUUUCAUUUUGCGCCGUUGCCUGAUGUUUUGCGCUUAUUUUUCACUGUAUGGAGCAUGUAAUCACUUCCAAACUCUAGAAAUGCACACGUCCACUCCAUCCACAUUGUACUCCGUCCAUACCCACCUCCGCCACGUUCGUCAAAGUGAUUUUUUUCCACUUUCAGCUAUUUUCUGUCUCCGUAUCCAAGGACGUCGGCCAUGAUGUCGCAAGCCGGAAAUUACGUUGUAGACAAUCACAUCCACACAACAACAUUCGGCCCUGUCAAAACCACACGUCUUAAACGCCUGCUAACCCUUGAAAAGUGUUUUCAAGCUGUAAACAAGUAUGGCCGGGCUAUUUUCUGUCUCCGUAUCCAAGGACGUCGGCCAUGAUGUCGCAAGCCGGAAAUUACGUUGUAGACAAUCACAUCCACACAACAACAUUCGGCCCUGUCAAAACCACACGUCUUAAACGCCUGCUAACCCUUGAAAAGUGUUUUCAAGCUGUAAACAAGUAUGGCCGGGCUAUUUUCUGUCUCCGUAUCCAAGGACGUCGGCCAUGAUGUCGCAAGCCGGAAAUUACGUUGUAGACAAUCACAUCCACACAACAACAUUCGGCCCUGUCAAAACCACACGUCUUAAACGCCUGCUAACCCUUGAAAAGUGUUUUCAAGCUGUAAACAAGUAUGGCCGGGCUAUUUUCUGUCUCCGUAUCCAAGGACGUCGGCCAUGAUGUCGCAAGCCGGAAAUUACGUUGUAGACAAUCACAUCCACACAACAACAUUCGGCCCUGUCAAAACCACACGUCUUAAACGCCUGCUAACCCUUGAAAAGUGUUUUCAAGCUGUAAACAAGUAUGGCCGGGCUAUUUUCUGUCUCCGUAUCCAAGGACGUCGGCCAUGAUGUCGCAAGCCGGAAAUUACGUUGUAGACAAUCACAUCCACACAACAACAUUCGGCCCUGUCAAAACCACACGUCUUAAACGCCUGCUAACCCUUGAAAAGUGUUUUCAAGCUGUAAACAAGUAUGGCCGGGCUAUUUUCUGUCUCCGUAUCCAAGGACGUCGGCCAUGAUGUCGCAAGCCGGAAAUUACGUUGUAGACAAUCACAUCCACACAACAACAUUCGGCCCUGUCAAAACCACACGUCUUAAACGCCUGCUAACCCUUGAAAAGUGUUUUCAAGCUGUAAACAAGUAUGGCCGGGCUAUUUUCUGUCUCCGUAUCCAAGGACGUCGGCCAUGAUGUCGCAAGCCGGAAAUUACGUUGUAGACAAUCACAUCCACACAACAACAUUCGGCCCUGUCAAAA